AGAGAGGUUCCAGCAGGGCAAGGAGCUAGGCCGUGUGACAUGGUUCUCUUAGCAGAAGCCCUGGAAUCUUGCAGAAAAUGUGACCUUCCAUCCUGCACAUGGAUGUCCUGGAGACCCUCCCAUCUCUUUCCUGCCAGAUGGUGACAGUCUUGUGGGGGAAGCGUGGUUUACUCCCAACCUUGGGUCCAGUCUAGAGCCAGGCUAGAAGGAACCAGAACUUCCAGUUUAGCUAGGUUUAGACUCACUUUGUUUUCUCGGUUAGUUUUAUUUAACAAGUUAUUCUUUUGGAGUGCAUACCCAAGUCUUACCUGCCCAGCUUUGGGGUUCCCUGCAAAACAUCUUGGGGUCUUCCCAAUGAUGUUGGCAUGGUACCUGGCUGAGUGUCUGGGGUCUAUGGAAGAGCCAUGUAUGCUCUGUGCUGGGCUUAAGGAAGGGAGGGGCAUGAGCUCACAGCGCAUGCUAGAGGGGCCAGGAAAUAAGGGAGGACUCUUGCUGCUGGGCUGGGUGGGAGGCAUUCGCCAGGAAUUCUGGGAGCUGCUUUUCCAUCUAGGCAGAGAUGUACCAGGGUGCUCACACUGCCAGAGGAGAAGCAGCAUCCACAGGGAAUCUGGGUAGCUCGUAAGUCGACUGGGACUGGACAAUGAUUUUUUUCUGCCUCCUGCCCCUAUAUUAUCAGUGUGAUGGUCUUAAUGAGGAAUGUCACCAGAAGCCAUGUAUUUGAAUACCUUGUCUUGGGCUGGUGCUGUUAUUUUGGGGAAGUCUGGAACUUUCAAGACAUAGAGUCUUGAUUGAGGAAGUAGAUAACUGGAGGCGAGAGUUUAUAACCUCAACUGACUUCCAGUUUACUCCUCCUGCUUCUUGUCUGCGGUUGAAGAUCUCCUAGCUUUCCGCCCUGGCAACCUGCUGCCAUUCUUCCCUGCCAUGAGGUACUCUUGUCCCCCUGUGACCAUACACCAAACAGACAUUUUUGUCUGUAAGACACUUUGGGAGACAGUAGUUUAUCCAAGCAACAAUAAAAUAAUGAAUGCA
Molecule: long non-coding RNA, 1029 nt
Filed under: Mus musculus (house mouse)
Lineage: Eukaryota; Metazoa; Chordata; Mammalia; Rodentia; Muridae
Description: predicted gene, 57449
Source: RNAcentral